CAAGCGGUGGAGCAUGUGGUUUAAUUCGAUGCAACGCGAAGAACCUUACCUGGUCUUGACAUCCACAGAACUUUCCAGAGAUGGAUUGGUGCCUUCGGGAACUGUGAGACAGGUGCUGCAUGGCUGUCGUCAGCUCGUGUUGUGAAAUGUUGGGUUAAGUCCCGCAACGAGCGCAACCCUUAUCCUUUGUUGCCAGCGGUUAGGUCGGGAACUCAAAGGAGACUGCCAGUGAUAAACUGGAGGAAGGUGGGGAUGACGUCAAGUCAUCAUGGCCCUUACGACCAGGGCUACACACGUGCUACAAUGGCGCAUACAAAGAGAAGCGACCUCGCGAGAGCAAGCGGACCUCAUAAAGUGCGUCGUAGUCCGGAUUGGAGUCUGCAACUCGACUCCAUGAAGUCGGAAUCGCUAGUAAUCGUGGAUCAGAAUGCCACGGUGAAUACGUUCCCGGGCCUUGUACACACCGCCCGUCACACCAUGGGAGUGGGUUGCAAAAGAAGUAGGUAGCUUAACCUUCGGGAGGGCGCUUACCACUUUGUGAUUCAUGACUGGGGUGAAGUCGUAACAAGGUAACCGUAGGGGAACCUGCGGUUGGAUCACCUCCUUACCUUAAAGAAGC
Molecule: ribosomal RNA, 619 nt
Filed under: Salmonella enterica subsp. enterica
Lineage: Bacteria; Pseudomonadati; Pseudomonadota; Gammaproteobacteria; Enterobacterales; Enterobacteriaceae
Description: bacterial SSU rRNA
Rfam family: Bacterial small subunit ribosomal RNA
Source: RNAcentral